This 2927-nucleotide ribosomal RNA is filed under the name Staphylococcus aureus. Its description in RNAcentral is "bacterial LSU rRNA". It matches the Rfam family "Bacterial large subunit ribosomal RNA". The record is from RNAcentral. Lineage: Bacteria; Bacillati; Bacillota; Bacilli; Caryophanales; Staphylococcaceae.
AGAUUAAGUUAUUAAGGGCGCACGGUGGAUGCCUUGGCACUAGAAGCCGAUGAAGGACGUUACUAACGACGAUAUGCUUUGGGGAGCUGUAAGUAAGCUUUGAUCCAGAGAUUUCCGAAUGGGGAAACCCAGCAUGAGUUAUGUCAUGUUAUCGAUAUGUGAAUACAUAGCAUAUCAGAAGGCACACCCGGAGAACUGAAACAUCUUAGUACCCGGAGGAAGAGAAAGAAAAUUCGAUUCCCUUAGUAGCGGCGAGCGAAACGGGAAGAGCCCAAACCAACAAGCUUGCUUGUUGGGGUUGUAGGACACUCUAUACGGAGUUACAAAGGACGACAUUAGACGAAUCAUCUGGAAAGAUGAAUCAAAGAAGGUAAUAAUCCUGUAGUCGAAAAUGUUGUCUCUCUUGAGUGGAUCCUGAGUACGACGGAGCACGUGAAAUUCCGUCGGAAUCUGGGAGGACCAUCUCCUAAGGCUAAAUACUCUCUAGUGACCGAUAGUGAACCAGUACCGUGAGGGAAAGGUGAAAAGCACCCCGGAAGGGGAGUGAAAUAGAACCUGAAACCGUGUGCUUACAAGUAGUCAGAGCCCGUUAAUGGGUGAUGGCGUGCCUUUUGUAGAAUGAACCGGCGAGUUACGAUUUGAUGCAAGGUUAAGCAGUAAAUGUGGAGCCGUAGCGAAAGCGAGUCUGAAUAGGGCGUUUAGUAUUUGGUCGUAGACCCGAAACCAGGUGAUCUACCCUUGGUCAGGUUGAAGUUCAGGUAACACUGAAUGGAGGACCGAACCGACUUACGUUGAAAAGUGAGCGGAUGAACUGAGGGUAGCGGAGAAAUUCCAAUCGAACCUGGAGAUAGCUGGUUCUCUCCGAAAUAGCUUUAGGGCUAGCCUCAAGUGAUGAUUAUUGGAGGUAGAGCACUGUUUGGACGAGGGGCCCCUCUCGGGUUACCGAAUUCAGACAAACUCCGAAUGCCAAUUAAUUUAACUUGGGAGUCAGAACAUGGGUGAUAAGGUCCAUGUUCGAAAGGGAAACAGCCCAGACCACCAGCUAAGGUCCCAAAAUAUAUGUUAAGUGGAAAAGGAUGUGGCGUUGCCCAGACAACUAGGAUGUUGGCUUAGAAGCAGCCAUCAUUUAAAGAGUGCGUAAUAGCUCACUAGUCGAGUGACACUGCGCCGAAAAUGUACCGGGGCUAAACAUAUUACCGAAGCUGUGGAUUGUCCUUUGGACAAUGGUAGGAGAGCGUUCUAAGGGCGUUGAAGCAUGAUCGUAAGGACAUGUGGAGCGCUUAGAAGUGAGAAUGCCGGUGUGAGUAGCGAAAGACGGGUGAGAAUCCCGUCCACCGAUUGACUAAGGUUUCCAGAGGAAGGCUCGUCCGCUCUGGGUUAGUCGGGUCCUAAGCUGAGGCCGACAGGCGUAGGCGAUGGAUAACAGGUUGAUAUUCCUGUACCACCUAUAAUCGUUUUAAUCGAUGGGGGGACGCAGUAGGAUAGGCGAAGCGUGCGAUUGGAUUGCACGUCUAAGCAGUAAGGCUGAGUAUUAGGCAAAUCCGGUACUCGUUAAGGCUGAGCUGUGAUGGGGAGAAGACAUUGUGUCUUCGAGUCGUUGAUUUCACACUGCCGAGAAAAGCCUCUAGAUAGAAAAUAGGUGCCCGUACCGCAAACCGACACAGGUAGUCAAGAUGAGAAUUCUAAGGUGAGCGAGCGAACUCUCGUUAAGGAACUCGGCAAAAUGACCCCGUAACUUCGGGAGAAGGGGUGCUCUUUAGGGUUAACGCCCAGAAGAGCCGCAGUGAAUAGGCCCAAGCGACUGUUUAUCAAAAACACAGGUCUCUGCUAAACCGUAAGGUGAUGUAUAGGGGCUGACGCCUGCCCGGUGCUGGAAGGUUAAGAGGAGUGGUUAGCUUCUGCGAAGCUACGAAUCGAAGCCCCAGUAAACGGCGGCCGUAACUAUAACGGUCCUAAGGUAGCGAAAUUCCUUGUCGGGUAAGUUCCGACCCGCACGAAAGGCGUAACGAUUUGGGCACUGUCUCAACGAGAGACUCGGUGAAAUCAUAGUACCUGUGAAGAUGCAGGUUACCCGCGACAGGACGGAAAGACCCCGUGGAGCUUUACUGUAGCCUGAUAUUGAAAUUCGGCACAGCUUGUACAGGAUAGGUAGGAGCCUUUGAAACGUGAGCGCUAGCUUACGUGGAGGCGCUGGUGGGAUACUACCCUAGCUGUGUUGGCUUUCUAACCCGCACCACUUAUCGUGGUGGGAGACAGUGUCAGGCGGGCAGUUUGACUGGGGCGGUCGCCUCCUAAAAGGUAACGGAGGCGCUCAAAGGUUCCCUCAGAAUGGUUGGAAAUCAUUCAUAGAGUGUAAAGGCAUAAGGGAGCUUGACUGCGAGACCUACAAGUCGAGCAGGGUCGAAAGACGGACUUAGUGAUCCGGUGGUUCCGCAUGGAAGGGCCAUCGCUCAACGGAUAAAAGCUACCCCGGGGAUAACAGGCUUAUCUCCCCCAAGAGUUCACAUCGACGGGGAGGUUUGGCACCUCGAUGUCGGCUCAUCGCAUCCUGGGGCUGUAGUCGGUCCCAAGGGUUGGGCUGUUCGCCCAUUAAAGCGGUACGCGAGCUGGGUUCAGAACGUCGUGAGACAGUUCGGUCCCUAUCCGUCGUGGGCGUAGGAAAUUUGAGAGGAGCUGUCCUUAGUACGAGAGGACCGGGAUGGACAUACCUCUGGUGUACCAGUUGUCGUGCCAACGGCAUAGCUGGGUAGCUAUGUGUGGACGGGAUAAGUGCUGAAAGCAUCUAAGCAUGAAGCCCCCCUCAAGAUGAGAUUUCCCAACUUCGGUUAUAAGAUCCCUCAAAGAUGAUGAGGUUAAUAGGUUCGAGGUGGAAGCAUGGUGACAUGUGGAGCUGACGAAUACUAAUCGAUCGAAGACUUAAUCAAAUU